UACGGAGGGUGCAAGCGUUAUCCGGAUUUAUUGGGUUUAAAGGGUCCGUAGGCGGAAUAGCAAGUCAGAGGUGAAAGCCCACAGCUUAACUGUGGAACUGCCUUUGAUACUGCCUUUCUUGAGUAUAGUUGAAGUGGGCGGAAUGUGCGGUGUAGCGGUGAAAUGCAUAGAUAUCGCACAGAACACCUAUCGCGAAGGCAGCUCACUAAACUAUUACUGACGCUCAGGGACGAAAGCGUGGGGAGCAAACAGG
RNAcentral lists this ribosomal RNA (253 nucleotides) under uncultured bacterium. Its description in RNAcentral is "partial 16S ribosomal RNA". It matches the Rfam family "Bacterial small subunit ribosomal RNA", at positions 524 to 776 of the family's 1533-position model. The record is from RNAcentral.